GAAAUGCGAUAAGUAAUGCGAAUUGCAGAAUCCGUGAGUCAUCGAAUCUUUGAACGCACAUUGCGCCCUUUGGUAUUCCGAAGGGCAUGCCUGUUCGAGCGUCAUUAUCACCCCUCAAGCCCGGCUUGUUGUUGGUCGCGGCGGCCGUCUUACCCGGCCCGCCCGUCCCAAAGAUAAUGACGGCGUCUGUGAGGACUCCUGUACACUGAGCUUUCGGGCACGUACACGGCUAGAAGUCCAGACCCGGUCUACCCGGUCUUUUGGCACCCCCAAAAAGAUUGGAACCCCCUUUUUUACCAAGGUUGACCUCGGAUCAGGUAGGAAUACCCGCUGAACUUAAGC
Molecule: unclassified non-coding RNA, 342 nt
Filed under: plant metagenome
Description: partial contains 5.8S ribosomal RNA, internal transcribed spacer 2, and large subunit ribosomal RNA
Rfam family: 5.8S ribosomal RNA (bases 1-104)
Source: RNAcentral